This is a long non-coding RNA of Mya arenaria, 1947 nucleotides long. RefSeq lists it as uncharacterized. Lineage: Eukaryota; Metazoa; Mollusca; Bivalvia; Myida; Myidae. The record is from RefSeq and is a predicted model, not a curated record. The transcript has 6 exons.
ACAUAAGACGUGUUUAAUUAAUGUGCGGGAAAGAGGUUUAAAGGUGUCGGCCCACAACGAAAGGCUUGCGGGUUGCAGUACCCCUUUAAGUAGUUCUUGAAAAAAAUGAUUCUCUGAGGUAGCAUUUGAUUAUGUGUACAUUGUAUUCUUGUAUGUAUUUUCAAGUUAACACAUGAUUUAUAUAAGGUUUGUAUAAUUUUAGUUUUAUUUAAGUUUUAAAAUUUUGAUAUUUUUUUUAAGAUUUGCCUGCCCCUGUCUGAACACUUAAAUUCUUGGUCUUUGGUCUAUUGUCUGCAACUUCAAAACACACUUUUUGGAACAGGACACAUUUUCCUGAUAUUUUAUCCAGUUUGACUGCAAUAUAAGUUGUAUUUAUCAAUAAUUUAAGUAAAAAAUGACAUUUAUAUUUCCAUAAUUACCUGGUAGUUAUUUGUUAAUUUGUUUUAAUUCAUGGAUAGGUUUAUUGCGAGUGUCAUGGAAAGCUGGAACUUUUCAGUACACAACAUGCAAACUGAGAAUGAACUGUGUGUGCCGGCUUUGUGAACAAAAACGCAAGGCGGCUAUGAUACACUGUGUUGUGUGUGGAUAAGAAAUGCAGAGUGGUACCACCAAUUACCUAAGCCACCAUUCCCCUAACAGACAAAAGGCUCAUGGGGACAGUUCCUGCAGUUUACAGCAAAUUGUAGCCCUACAAACUUCAGAUACUGCCAAGCUUGGGUGCACUGGGCCGGUUAUCCAGCCGUGUGGAAUCAACAUCUCCAGCUGAACUUGGGCCGGGAAUUAUAUAAGAAUCCUUAGCAGCAUGAGUGCCAGCCAGUCAUUGCUGUUCUUUGCAUUGCUGAGGAGGACAGUCCUGCCAACAUAACAGUUUGUUCAAUAACAGGAGACAAACAGAAACACAGAGGUGCUAUACAUUCCGAUGGAAAAUACAACAAAAGCAUCUCCCAUCAUUUUGGCGUGGCUCAGAUCAAGAGGAGAAUUUUAAGAAAGGUGAUGGUUGGGCACACACAAGAAGACAUAGAUCACAUGUGUCCAGGCAUAUGAGUAGACAGGAGUUUCACACUCUGCCAAACUUACUUCAUCAGAGGAGCAGAAAGCUUCUCAAGAUCCCGCACUGCACACUUAGAUAUAGUCUUUGACUACAACAAGGGGAUGAAAGUACAGAGAGGUCCAAUUGAAAUCAAUUCUGUGCUGCGUCAUUUCUUCAUUCUGGAAGUCGAUGGACAUGAUUUAUCAUGGCAUCAGGUGUGCAGUUUGUCGACUAUCAGCAGUCUUGUUCACCAGUUGUGCAACUUGAGCUGGUAGCUUUAUUGCUUGAAGCCACAGCAUAAGAGGGGGAAGGUGCAGGCUCAUCAAAAAGUCUCAAAAGUUGAAACUAGGAAAAGAAGUUUGUCAAGAGUGUGAAUAUUUGCUUUGAAAACCAUCGUUACGAUGAUUUGGUUUCCUUUGAAACUUGAUACAUACUAUGUGUAUGUUGAAUGAAUUGAGAUGCUUAAAUAAAGAACCGCUAUUCAAAUAUCAGGAAACUGCAUUUUUCAUACUAAAGGGUAAAUGAUGUCGCCAUUUCCUGUAUGUAUUUAAAUGAGAUAUGUUUCCACAAUUAAUAUUUUUAGGGAAUUUUUCUCAUCCUAAUGAAUGAGAUUAAAUUGUACAGCGUUAUAUGAGCUUAAUAUGUGUUUUCUGUUUCUUUAAAAUUGGUGAAAAAUUGUCAGAAGAUAAUUAGACCAUUAUCCAUUACUGCAAUCAUACAAUCAAAUAUACAGGGACAAACCCACUGGGCAUAUAAUAUAAUUAAACCCUGUUCAGGGGCAUGAGGCAAACAGAGUUACUUUCAAACGUUAAAGCUGCACUCUCACAUUUUGGACGUUUUGACAACUUUUCUCAUUUUAUGUCUUGGAUUGGAACCAUCCAAUUUUUGCGAAAAAUUAAAUGGCAGAUUUUUCUAUU